CCUACGGGAGGCAGCAGUGAGGAAUAUUGGUCAAUGGGCUAACGCCUGAACCAGCCACGUCGCGUGAGUGAAGACGGCCCUCUGGUUUUUAAACCCUUUUUUUCAGGGAGCAACGCCGGCUACGUGUCUCCGGACUGAUCGUCCCUGAAGAAAAAGCAUCGGCUAACUCCGUGCCAGCGGACGCGGUAAUACGGAGGAUGCGGGGGUUAUCGGGAUUUAUUGGGGUUAAGGGUUGCGUGGGCGGAAUGCCAAGUCAGCGGUAAGAUCGCGGGGCUAAACCUAGCUCCGACGUGGAGACUGGGGUUCUUGAGUGGGCGAGAGGUAUGCGGAAUGCGUGGUGUAGCGGUGAAAUGCAUAGAUAUCAGGAAGAACUCCGAUUGCGAAGGCAGCAUACCGGCGCCCAACUGACGCUGAAGCACGAAAGCGUGGGUAUCGAACAGGAUUAGAUACCCCAGUAGUC
Molecule: ribosomal RNA, 460 nt
Filed under: uncultured bacterium
Lineage: Bacteria
Description: partial 16S ribosomal RNA
Rfam family: Bacterial small subunit ribosomal RNA
Source: RNAcentral